Molecule: ribosomal RNA, 301 nt
Filed under: uncultured bacterium
Lineage: Bacteria
Description: partial 16S ribosomal RNA
Rfam family: Bacterial small subunit ribosomal RNA
Source: RNAcentral
CAGUCGCCGCGGGAAUACAGAGGGUGCGAGCGUUAAUCGGAUUUACUGGGCGUAAAGCGUGCGUAGGUGGUGGUUUAAGUCCGUUGUGAAAGCCCUGGGCUCAACCUGGGAAUUGCAGUGGAUACUGGGUCACUAGAGUGUGGUAGAGGAUAGUGGAAUUUCCGGUGUAGCAGUGAAAUGCGUAGAGAUCGGAAGGAACAUCUGUGGCGAAGGCGACUAUCUGGGCCAACACUGACACUGAGGCACGAAAGCGUGGGGAGCAAACAGGAUUAGAUACCCGGGUAGUCCCUGUCUCUUAUAA